GUCUAUGAUCAUACCACGUUGACAACACCUGGUCUUGUCUGAUCCCUGAAGUUAAGCAACGUCGGGGCGAGUCAGUACUUGGGAGGUAGACAUAAAUAACUUUGAAACACUUUGUCAUAGACA
This 123-nucleotide ribosomal RNA is filed under the name Leptotrombidium deliense. Lineage: Eukaryota; Metazoa; Arthropoda; Arachnida; Trombidiformes; Trombiculidae. The record is from RNAcentral.